This 421-nucleotide ribosomal RNA is filed under the name uncultured bacterium. RNAcentral's name for it is "bacterial SSU rRNA". It matches the Rfam family "Bacterial small subunit ribosomal RNA", at positions 355 to 774 of the family's 1533-position model. The record is from RNAcentral.
UAGGGAAUAUUGGGCAAUGGAGGAAACUCUGACCCAGCCAUGCCGCGUGCAGGAUGAAGGCCCUCUGGGUUGUAAACUGCUUUUUACAGGGAACAAAUGCCCCUUGCGAGGGGAGCUGAGGGUACCUGUAGAAUAAGCCACGGCUAACUACGUGCCAGCAGCCGCGGUAAUACGUAGGUGGCAAGCGUUGUCCGGAUUUACUGGGUUUAAAGGGUGCGCAGGUGGCUAGUUAAGUCUGUGUUGAAAGAGCUAGGCUCAACCUAGUAAACGGCAUAGAUACUGACUGGCUUGAGGAUAGUCGAGGUAGGCGGAAUGUAGGGUGUAGCGGUGAAAUGCAUAGAUACCCUACAGAACUCCUAUUGCGAAGGCAGCUUACUAGACUACGCCUGACGCUCAUGCACGAAAGCGUGGGGAGCAAACA